Molecule: ribosomal RNA, 1530 nt
Filed under: Escherichia coli EPECa12
Lineage: Bacteria; Pseudomonadati; Pseudomonadota; Gammaproteobacteria; Enterobacterales; Enterobacteriaceae
Description: bacterial SSU rRNA
Rfam family: Bacterial small subunit ribosomal RNA
Source: RNAcentral
AGAGUUUGAUCAUGGCUCAGAUUGAACGCUGGCGGCAGGCCUAACACAUGCAAGUCGAACGGUAACAGGAAGAAGCUUGCUUCUUUGCUGACGAGUGGCGGACGGGUGAGUAAUGUCUGGGAAACUGCCUGAUGGAGGGGGAUAACUACUGGAAACGGUAGCUAAUACCGCAUAACGUCGCAAGACCAAAGAGGGGGACCUUCGGGCCUCUUGCCAUCGGAUGUGCCCAGAUGGGAUUAGCUAGUAGGUGGGGUAACGGCUCACCUAGGCGACGAUCCCUAGCUGGUCUGAGAGGAUGACCAGCACACUGGAACUGAGACACGGUCCAGACUCCUACGGGAGGCAGCAGUGGGGAAGUAUUGCACGAAUGGGCGCAAGCCUGAUGCAGCCAUGCCGCGUGUAUGAAGAAGGCCUUCGGGUUGUAAAGUACUUUCAGCGGGAGGAAGGGAGUAAAGUUAAUACCUUUGCUCAUUGACGUUACCCGCAGAAGAAGCACCGGCUAACUCCGUGCCAGCAGCCGCGGUAAUACGGAGGGUGCAAGCGUUAAUCGGAAUUACUGGGCGUAAAGCGCACGCAGGCGGUUUGUUAAGUCAGAUGUGAAAUCCCCGGGCUCAACCUGGGAACUGCAUCUGAUACUGGCAAGCUUGAGUCUCGUAGAGGGGGGUAGAAUUCCAGGUGUAGCGGUGAAAUGCGUAGAGAUCUGGAGGAAUACCGGUGGCGAAGGCGGCCCCCUGGACGAAGACUGACGCUCAGGUGCGAAAGCGUGGGGAGCAAACAGGAUUAGAUACCCUGGUAGUCCACGCCGUAAACGAUGUCGACUUGGAGGUUGUGCCCUUGAGGCGUGGCUUCCGGAGCUAACGCGUUAAGUCGACCGCCUGGGGAGUACGGCCGCAAGGUUAAAACUCAAAUGAAUUGACGGGGGCCCGCACAAGCGGUGGAGCAUGUGGUUUAAUUCGAUGCAACGCGAAGAACCUUACCUGGUCUUGACAUCCACGGAAGUUUUCAGAGAUGAGAAUGUGCCUUCGGGAACCGUGAGACAGGUGCUGCAUGGCUGUCGUCAGCUCGUGUUGUGAAAUGUUGGGUUAAGUCCCGCAACGAGCGCAACCCUUAUCCUUUGUUGCCAGCGGUCCGGCCGGGAACUCAAAGGAGACUGCCAGUGAUAAACUGGAGGAAGGUGGGAUGACGUCAAGUCAUCAUGGCCCUUACGACCAGGGCUACACACGUGCUACAAUGGCGCAUACAAAGAGAAGCGACCUCGCGAGAGCAAGCGGACCUCAAUAAAGUGCGUCGUAGUCCGGAUUGGAGUCUGCAACUCGACUCCAUGAAGUCGGAAUCGCUAGUAAUCGUGGAUCAGAAUGCCACGGUGAAUACGUUCCCGGGCCUUGUACACACCGCCCGUCACACCAUGGGAGUGGGUUGCAAAAGAAGUAGGUAGCUUAACCUUCGGGAGGGCGCUUACCACUUUGUGAUUCAUGACUGGGGUGAAGUCGUAACAAGGUAACCGUAGGGGAACCUGCGGUUGGAUCACCU